This is an RNA transcript of Megalops cyprinoides (Indo-Pacific tarpon), 813 nucleotides long. It is a transcript of the gene named mucolipin-1-like, with no coding region annotated. The record is from RefSeq and is a predicted model, not a curated record. The transcript is spliced from 5 exons. NCBI's taxonomy places the organism in Eukaryota, Metazoa, Chordata, Actinopteri, Elopiformes, Megalopidae.
GCUGAAGGCUAUUAAUAUCCAGGCUAUAAUAAAUAAUGAGAUCCCUGACUGUUACACCUUCAUUGUGAUGACAGGCCUGGAUAACAAGGCUCACAGUGGCAAAGUCGAGAUCAGCCUGGAAAACCAGGUCACCGUGUCAUCUAUCUACAGUGACCAGAACCCACAAUAGUGGACACGGUUGGCCAGAGAUUCAUUUCUCCACCUCGUCACCCUCUAACAGCUCUUGAGAUUCUGAUCAUCACCCUGCGCACUGCAUUCCCCAAUGUGAUCCGGUUCUGCUGCUGUCCAGGGUCCAUACCAUGUCAAAUUCCACUCCCUGCCCAUGGUGUCCGAAUGCUUGUUCUCCUUAAUCAAUGGUGACGACAUACCCAGGAGACCACACAUCUGUGAGCUACACGCAUUUAUUUCACAGUGCACCAAAACGCCCACCUCCGGAAAGUUCCGGAAAGGCCCAGAGAGCUCGUCCUGUUCUUUCUUCUGCAGCAUCAACAGGUGAGGGAGAUAAACAGGUGAGCGAGAUGAACAGAUGAGGGAGACAGAUGGGUGAGGGAGGCAGACGGGUGAGGGAGACGGGUUAGAGAGACAGAUGGGUGAGACAGGCAGACAGGUUAGAGAAGCAAACGGGUGAGAGAAGCAGACGAGUGAGGGAGAUAGACGGGUGAGGAAACAGGUGAUGGAGACAAACAGGUGAGGAAGACAGAUUGGUGAGAGACAAACAGAUGAGGGAGACAGACGUGUGAGAGACAGACGUGUGAGGGAAAUGGACAGAUGGACAGAGACUUUGAAAAAGUCUGACAUUACAGAAUCUUUUCA